CCUACGGGAGGCAGCAGUCGAGAAUUAUUCACAAUGGGGGAAACCCUGAUGGUGCGACGCCGCGUGGGGGAAUGAAGGUCUUCGGAUUGUAAACCCCUGUCAUGUGGGAGCAAAUUAAAAAGAUAGUACCACAAGAGGAAGAGACGGCUAAAUCUGUGCCAGCAGCCGCGGUAAUGCAGGGGUCUCAAGCGUUGUUCGGAAUCACUGGGCGUAAAGCGUGCGUAGGCUGUUUCGUAAGUCGUGUGUGAAAGGCGCGGGCGCAAGGCGCGGACGACACAUGAUACUGCGGGACUAGAGUGAUGGAGGGGGGACCGGAAUGCUCGGUGUAGCAGUGAAAUGCAUAGAUAUC
Molecule: ribosomal RNA, 349 nt
Filed under: uncultured bacterium
Lineage: Bacteria
Description: partial 16S ribosomal RNA
Rfam family: Bacterial small subunit ribosomal RNA
Source: RNAcentral